CUUCUGACCAAAGAAAACUUAAAGAUGGCCGCCUCCACAGAGCAAGUGUAAACCAAGAGAAACAUUGAAAAGAGCUAUGUACAUAUGUAUGCAUUACAACACAAUACUCACAUAAUCUGUCAACAUAUCUGAUAUUUUAUUUUAUUUUAAAUAAGAAUAAACAUUUAUGACUGUUUUCCUCUAAGGAUUUGUUGCAGUAUUAUGGUAUAUGGAUAUUGAAUCAUUGUUGCAGUAUCGUAGUAUAUGUAUAUUUAAUCUUAUUCUUCUCAAUAUGUUGUGAGGACCAAUAUAUUUUUAAAAAAAUUUUGUUUGUUGCUGUUUUGUAAACUAUUCCCUCUUUUUGGUAAGCACAAGUUUGAUCAGCCUGCAAGGCAAUUUAUAGUGAAAACUGCCAGAGUCAGAUUAUAUACAGUAUAAUGCAUUUAGGCAGGUGCCAUGGAUAUACGACAAUAUUGAGGAAAAUCAGGGACUACUACAGAUUUCAGAGAGUGUGAAGUUAUGGGCCUCUUCCGAAUUAAUGAAUCUGCAGCCUGAUAAUGACAGGCACUAAAUGUUUUGCUCUACUGACUCUCUCUAAACCCCUUUUAUGUUGGGGAAAUACACUUUGUUUUCUGUGAGAUUAUCUCUUACUCACAUUGGCACAUAUAUCCCAGUUGCAUUAAACAUUAUAUUUCCUAUGUCAUAUAUUACAUAGUUACAUAGGCUCAAAAUAGACAUGCGCCCAUCAAGUGCAAUCUUUUUCGCAUCUGUUUUUAUAUAUAUGUACAGCACCAACAAGUAACCACACACUGGCACUGUACCUCCAAUUUUAAAUAAAUGAUCCAUACUCACAUCAGAUUAUCUCCCAAUGCCAGUCGAUCCAAUCAACCCAUUUUCUUAAAUUAUAAAAAUCAACAUGACAUACUUGAAAACGAUUGUCCAGGAUUGAUGUAUCUCUCAUGAAGAGGGAACUUUCAGACAUUUUGGAUCUGGACCUCUCAUUAUGGAUGGGAUCAGUCUGAUAUGCAAGUGGUAUAUCUCUCUGUAAUGGCACAGGUGAGCAAAAACAUUUUUGAGAUAUGAGCAAUGAAUUACCAAAGGGGAAAGCUAUUAAGGUUAAAGGUUUGGCCCCUUCUCAAAGUUCUCAUAUUCUCUGUUAUUGCUUCACAUGUAUAUUUUGCAUAUUUUAUUUUUGUUACAUAGCAUAUACCAUCUUUCCCCCAAAAAUAGACUUGGUCUUAUAUUAAUUUUUCCUCCGAAAGACUCACAAAGGCUUAUUUCCAGGGGGUGUUUUAUUUUGGGGGAAAAUGGUAGCAAGCAUGUGCUACAAAGGAGGUCUGCGUUCGGGGGAUCAGUUCACUAGGGCAUAUACAGUUGCAAGAAAAAGUAUAUGAACCCUUUGGAAUGAUAUGGAUUUCUGCACAAAUUGGUCAUAAAAUGUGAUCUGAUCAUCAUCUAAGUCACAAUAGACAAGCACAGUCUGCUUAAACUAAUAACACACACAGAACGAAAUGUUGCCAUGUUUUUAUUGAACACACCAUGUAAACAUUCACAGUGCAGGUGGAAAAAGUAUGUGAACCCAUAGACUAAUGACAUCUCCAAGAGCUAAUUGGAGUGAGAUGUCAGCCAACUGGAGUCCAAUCAAUGAGAUGAGAUUGGAGGUGUUGGUUACAGCUGCCCUGCCCUAUAAAAAACACACACCAGUUCUGGGUUUGCUUUUCACAAGAAGCAUUGCCUGAUGUGAAUGAUGCCUCGCACAAAAGAGCUCUCAGAAGAUCUACGAUUAAGAAUUGUUGACUUGCAUGAAGCUGGAAAGGGUUAUAAAAGUAUCUGCAAAAGCCUUGCUGUUCAUCAGUCCACUGGUAAGACAAAUUGUCUAUAAAUGGAGAAAGUUCAGCACUGCUGCUACUCUCCCUAGGAGUGGCAGUCCUGUAAAGAUGACUGCAAGAGCACAGCGCAGACUGCUCAAUGAGGUGAAGAAGAAUCCUAGAGUGUCAGCUAAAGACUUACAAAAGUCACUGGCAAAUGCUAACAUCCCUGUUAGCGAAUCUACAAUACGUAAAACAC
This is a non-coding RNA of Pelobates cultripes (western spadefoot toad), 2046 nucleotides long. Lineage: Eukaryota; Metazoa; Chordata; Amphibia; Anura; Pelobatidae. The record is from the annotation of a GenBank genome assembly.